AAUAAGGUGAGUACUGACUGCCUGACACUAUAGACUGGAAAAUGAUUUUUUUAACAAGAAAAGUCGGUGAUUUUUUGUUUUUACACUAACCGCAAAAUCUCUUUUAGUUUCAAAACAUGUAACAGCGCUAAAAACUGACAUUCCACUGAUUCCACUGAUGUUGUGCCUCGCUGUGAACAAUGUAAAGCUGUUGUAAAGCCAGAUGCAGUAUUUUUUGGCAAAUCGCUUCCUGAACGCUUUCGAUUGGUGGAAGAAGAUUUUCCGAAUUGUGAUCUACUGAUUAUAUUAGGAACUUCACUAGUUGUUCAGCCCUUUGCAUCUCUUGUCGAUCGUGUUCCGCCUAGAUGCCCGCGUCUUCUGAUAAAUUUCGAGGAAGCGGGAAAUGAAGACCCUGUUAUGGUUGUUCUUGGUUUCAGUUGUGGGUUGCAGUUUCAUGGAGCUGACAAUUUCCGUGACGUUGCUUGGCUUGGUGAUUGUGACGAAGGAUGCUUUCUAUUUGCAGAAAAACUUGGUUGGAAGGAUGAACUAAAUUCAUUGAUUGAAAAUGGAUGUGAAAGCGAAGAUUCGGUAGAAACAGGUGCUACUGAAAGUACCUAAUAAUAGACGCGGCAUUAAUAGUCUCGUAACAAAAGACUUAUAAACGUCUCGUGAAAGUAUCAAAUUUGUUUUGUGUUGAAUAUGCUUACGACUUACUUGCGAGAAUCUCACGCCCUUAAAAUGAGUAGUUAAAAUUGAAAAUUCCAAUGCUUUUUCAGAGUGAACAAAAUAAAAUGAAUUAAAAAUU
Daphnia pulicaria is the source of this 784-nucleotide long non-coding RNA. RefSeq lists it as uncharacterized. The transcript has 4 exons. The record is from RefSeq and is a predicted model, not a curated record. NCBI's taxonomy places the organism in Eukaryota, Metazoa, Arthropoda, Branchiopoda, Diplostraca, Daphniidae.